Molecule: ribosomal RNA, 716 nt
Filed under: Morganella morganii
Lineage: Bacteria; Pseudomonadati; Pseudomonadota; Gammaproteobacteria; Enterobacterales; Morganellaceae
Description: partial 23S ribosomal RNA
Rfam family: Bacterial large subunit ribosomal RNA
Source: RNAcentral
ACGGAGCCAUCCUUGAAAUACCACCCUUUAACGUUUGAUGUUCUAACCCGGGUCCAUAAUCUGGAUCGGGGACCGUGUCUGGUGGGUAGUUUGACUGGGGCGGUCUCCUCCCAAAGAGUAACGGAGGAGCACGAAGGUUGGCUAAGCAUGGUCGGACAUCAUGCGGUUAGUGCAAAGGCAUAAGCCAGCUUGACUGCGAGAGUGACGGCUCGAGCAGGUACGAAAGUAGGUCUUAGUGAUCCGGUGGUUCUGAAUGGAAGGGCCAUCGCUCAACGGAUAAAAGGUACUCCGGGGAUAACAGGCUGAUACCGCCCAAGAGUUCAUAUCGACGGCGGUGUUUGGCACCUCGAUGUCGGCUCAUCACAUCCUGGGGCUGAAGUAGGUCCCAAGGGUAUGGCUGUUCGCCAUUUAAAGUGGUACGCGAGCUGGGUUUAGAACGUCGUGAGACAGUUCGGUCCCUAUCUGCCGUGGGCGCUGGAAGAUUGAGAGGGGUUGCUCCUAGUACGAGAGGACCGGAGUGAACGCACCACUGGUGUACGGGUUGUGAUGCCAAUUGCAUUGCCCGGUAGCUAAGUGCGGAAGAGAUAACCGCUGAAAGCAUCUAAGCGGGAAACUUGCCUCGAGAUGAGUCUUCCCUGACCCUUUAAGGGUCCUGAAGGAACGUUUGAGACUAAGACGUUGAUAGGCUGGGUGUGUAAGCGCAGCGAUGCGUUGAG